This 29-nucleotide ribosomal RNA is filed under the name Cambessedesia gracilis. RNAcentral's name for it is "partial 18S small subunit ribosomal RNA". RNAcentral also lists the same sequence under 1 other name. The record is from RNAcentral. Lineage: Eukaryota; Viridiplantae; Streptophyta; Magnoliopsida; Myrtales; Melastomataceae.
UACCUGGUUGAUCCUGCCAGUAGUCAUAG